Molecule: small RNA, 28 nt
Filed under: Bombyx mori (domestic silkworm)
Lineage: Eukaryota; Metazoa; Arthropoda; Insecta; Lepidoptera; Bombycidae
Description: ovarian small RNA-29380
Source: RNAcentral
UCGUUUGGAACCUCUGGGUCUACGGAGG